RNAcentral lists this long non-coding RNA (3310 nucleotides) under Volvox carteri. Its description in RNAcentral is "long non-coding RNA (VCAR_LNC000116)". Lineage: Eukaryota; Viridiplantae; Chlorophyta; Chlorophyceae; Chlamydomonadales; Volvocaceae. The record is from RNAcentral.
UCGCGAGAGGAAGGAGGAACACAUUGUUUCGAUGUUGUUCUGUUGCCGUUGUUCUGUUUGUUGUGAUAUUCGGCAUUAUUGCUGCAUUGCAUCAUGUCUUCAGCAGCAUCACCAUCAUACAGAACGAGAUUAGUAUUUUUAUGUUCUGCUGCAACAUGUGUUGGUUUGUCUGUCUGUGUAUCUGUGAACGUACUUUGUGCCCAGCGGCGGCGGUGGUAAUUGUGCUGAUUGAUUGGCGGUGGCUAUGUCGAAGAGAUGCGGUGGAGGGCACUACGGCCUUUUUCAUGUAGUAGCAUCAGCUUAACAAGCAUUGCCCGUGUGGAAAAAAAGAGGGGGGGAGAGAGAGAGCCAGUCGGAGUUUUGGGAGUUGUGUGUGUGGUGGCGUCCUCCCCUCCCCUGCAGCCCUCCCCUCCUCCCUAGAAUUGGGCGGCGGCAUCGGACGUGUGGAGGAGUUUCUGCGGGUGCGAGGAGAGAUGGAAGAGGAGGACAGGAGAAUAAAUGGGUGGUGUAGGAUGCUCUCCUGCGGAAUACAUCUCGCAUUUCGGCCCCCUCCCUCCCCCCCUCACUCCUUCCAGGCUCCGUUGUACAGUGUACAGCAUUGUGCAUGGCGGACGGGCGGGUACUGCUCAAAACCACACCGUCACGUCGCGCACAAAAGCGCACAUGCACACGCACAUGCACAUGCAAAAACAGACAAACAGCUCACUCACACAGGUUACUGUGUCUUUGCGGGAUGAGUGAGGCAGGUCGCAAAUUUGUUUUUCCCAGUCCGUUCCGAGGCUGGCAGGGGAAGGGUCAGGUCGCCGCCUCUGGUAUUUUCAUGUUGCUAUUUUGUGGCUCGGAGGGCCACUCCGGUUUGCAGCAUUUGACAAGGCAUUGAGAACCUUUUGACUCAUGCCCAGCCAUUUCCUUGGGCGCUUUGUGUGCGGGUUCAUUUCCGUUUAGGAGUACGGCUCUAUGGCGCGCACGUGACGCGGCACGGUGUGGCGGCGGCGAGAGUGCUGACACAGACAUGACAACAGGUGUGUGUGUGCGUAUAUAUAGAAAUGCACAAAGCGACAUGACGACUUCUGACCUCAUCAAGUCCGGAGAAAAACGAUUUUUUUAAUUAAUCAUCGUUGGCUCAUUGUAUGUAUGCAUGUAUGUAUGCAUGCAUGUAUGUAUGUAUGUAUGUAUGACUGUAUGUGUACAGAACGAGCAGGGUGAAGGACUCCCUCGCGUAUGGAGGAUCGACAGCACACGACUGUACAGAAAGAUUGAUCCAGCAGUCUCACUGGCAGGGAUUAGCUUCACCGAUGAUGCAAAAUGAUGACAUUUUUAAUCAUCUCUUAUGCGCUGUGUUUGUGCACUUGGCGCAUGAUGAUCAUGAUGAUGAUGAUGACAAUGCUGCUUAUUACCAUGUCCAAAUGAUAGACUUAGGAGUAGUGAUGGUGGUAAUGAUGAUGAUGAUGACGACACAUUUUGGCAUUUUGACUUGAACAUGACGCGGCGGCGUGGGGAAACCGAAUGGCGGGUAUCCACGCCCACAUUGUGUAUGUGUGUAUGCGUGUCAUCCACAUCGCAAUCGAUCGCUUUCAUUCAACCGUGAAUGCCAUUGUUUGUGGGUCUCUUCGUUAGGUGGGCUUGAGAAACGGAUGACUGCCCCCGGCUGAGGUGUGUUGUUGUUGGGGGGGGGAUAUGUUGGCCUUCUCCCCGUUGCGAGGUGGAAUAAUCUUGAGACUGCAUGACGCACAGCACCUCCCGACCACUGACGACCGAUGUCCCGGUUCAGUGUGCACCAGUAUGCGUCGGAGCUUCAAGGCUGCUACAUGUGUAGGGGUUUUAGGAGCUGCAAGGCUGCCAUGCGUUGUGAAGGUGCCUACGUAGUGUCACCAUCUAUGUGGAGGACAGCAUGAGGCGAGGCACAUAGCGCCAGGCACACAGCCGCCAACCACUCGGUCCAUUAUUUCGCCCAGUAGGGGCCAUGGGACUAUGGACACCUGCGAUGGCCUAAUGCGAAAGAGAACGCUAAGGGGAGGGGAGAUGUGUGUGCUUGUGUGUGGCGUUCCCUAGCGCACAUAUCAGCAGGAAGCCCUCCCACUGGAGUUGCUUGAACACGAGUUGGAUUAGUCGUUUUCGUUGUAAUUUAGAACCUGAAUCAUGUCUUCAUGGUGAAGUUGAGGACAUUUACCUUCUGUGUGACGAGACAUUUUCUGAAGGUUCUGGGUGGUGUUGAAAUGAUAACCCCUGUGAAAACAUCCGGGGUGCAGAAAGAUAGCACUGACACUGUAUUGUAUACAACAGCUGUAACACGGUUCACAAUCUGUGCGGGCUGAGGGCGAAAGGAGUCUGACAUGGCUGACAAGCUUGGUGCGGGCUUCAGCGCUCUUCAAUAGGCAACUACCACCGGAAAAUAGAUCCCUUGCAACGCCCCCGUGUGCACACCGCCAUACUGAAGUUUGAAGACUGAAGUGGAGAAAGGUUCCAUGUGAACAGCAAUUGGACAUGGGUUAGCCCCGCCGGCCGGACCGGGUACGACAGCCUUUGCGACCGGCCACUGGACCGGAACCGGACCCGCAGAAUUUGGACCGAAAAGGUGCUGCUCGACGCUCCCAAUCAUGUCCUAGUGAUAAAGUAUGACCAUAGCCAGCGUUUUGAGCGGUCAGGCCGACGCGCGCGACCGGUCUUCGCGAAUGUUUGGGUUGGAGACACACACACAUGUACGCGCACAUGAAAAAUGAAAUAAGAAAAGUAUUAUUUUCUGUUUCCUUUAAAUUGAAGUUGGAAGUGGAACACCCUCACAGUCCGUAACACCUAAGACCUCAAGUAACAGUGAAGUUCGAUGAAAUUUUGGUAAUGAUAACACCUAAGACCUGAAAGCAUGAUGAAAACGAUGGAGUUCUGCCUGCGGGGCAUGCCGGUCUGAUGCGGGUGGCUUCAGCGCCGACGCCGACAGGGCAUGGAAGUCUGUUGUGGGCAGCUGCAGCGCCGACGGUGUGGGCUACUCGCGAACGGGUCUAGCGUGCGAUAUAGGAUUCUAAGAGAUGAGGCAUACCUGAGCGCGAUUCCCCUUGCGCUGCCCAUCGAAAGGGAAAAGGGAUAGGGCGGCUCCUGCUGGAUUGCUUUCUGGCAGCUUCGUUAAGCAAGGUUUUCUUCUAUCCUUCGUCUCGGGGAAAUUGUGAAAUGGGAAGGUCCUGUUUCAUUAAUGAUAGUUUGGCCCCGUCAAGCUAGGCGAUAUGUAUAUGGGCUGGGCGACUGGAUGAACAAACUUUCCUAACAUCCAUGUUGAAAUUUGAAACAACAAAUGUUACAAUUUCACAAGUUGCAACAU